UUCGGGGGACAGGGUGACAGGUGGUGCAUGGUUGUCGUCAGCUCGUGUCGUGAGAUGUUGGGUUAAGUCCCGCAACGAGCGCAACCCUCGACCUUAGUUGCCAGCAUUCAGUUGGGCACUCUAAGGUGACUGCCGGCUAAAAGUCGGAGGGAGGUGGGGAUGACGUCAAAUCAUCAUGCCCCUUAUGACCUGGGCUACACACGUGCUACAAUGGGCGGUACAAAGGGUCGCGAACCCGCGAGGGGGAGCCAAUCCCAAAAAGCCGCUCUCAGUUCGGAUUGCAGGCUGCAACUCGCCUGCAUGAAGCCGGAAUCGCUAGUAAUCGCGGAUCAGCAUGCCGCGGUGAAUACGUUCCCGGGCCUU
This 363-nucleotide ribosomal RNA is filed under the name uncultured Anoxybacillus sp. RNAcentral describes it as "bacterial SSU rRNA". It matches the Rfam family "Bacterial small subunit ribosomal RNA", at positions 1018 to 1382 of the family's 1533-position model. The record is from RNAcentral. Lineage: Bacteria; Bacillati; Bacillota; Bacilli; Caryophanales; Anoxybacillaceae.